Molecule: non-coding RNA, 105 nt
Organism: Canis lupus familiaris (dog)
Lineage: Eukaryota; Metazoa; Chordata; Mammalia; Carnivora; Canidae
Source: Rfam
UUGUUUAGCAGCACAUACACUAAAAUUGGAAUGAUACAGAGAAGAUUAGGAUGGCCCCUGUGAAAGAAUGACACCAAAAUGAAAACACAAUAGUCCAAAAUCUUU